UCCCGGCAGCCCGCGCGAGGACUCCCCUCCCUCGGCCUCGGGCCUAGCGACGCAGGGGACGCGUUUUUGCCAGCGUCGCCUUAGGGAGCCAAUGAGAGGGACAGGCGUCCGGAGUUUGUGACGUCACGGCGCGGGGACUGUGAGCCUCGACUGAGAUAUGGACUGUACCCGAUCUGCUGAAAAUAUGGAUCAGAUCCAAAAAGAAAACUUUUGACUCAUCUCUCUGAAAUGACAGACAACUUCAGAAGCACUGGAAGCACUAUCUAAUCAAUCAAUUAAU
Molecule: long non-coding RNA, 280 nt
Organism: Ornithorhynchus anatinus (platypus)
Lineage: Eukaryota; Metazoa; Chordata; Mammalia; Monotremata; Ornithorhynchidae
Exons: 3
Source: RefSeq, a predicted model, not a curated record